Molecule: ribosomal RNA, 324 nt
Filed under: uncultured eukaryote
Lineage: Eukaryota
Description: partial 18S ribosomal RNA
Rfam family: Eukaryotic small subunit ribosomal RNA
Source: RNAcentral
CCCUUAGAUGUUCUGGGCCGCACGCGCGCUACACUGAUGCAUUCAACGAGUUUCUUCCUGGUCCGAGAGGAAUGGGUAACCUUUUGAAAGUGCAUCGUGAUAGGGAUAGACUAUUGCAAUUAUUGAUCUUCAACGAGGAAUUCCUAGUAGACGUAGUUCAUCAGACUGCAUCGAUUACGUCCCUGCCCUUUGUACACACCGCCCGUCGCUCCUACCGAUUGAAUGCUCAGGUGAGCCAUUCGGACUUUCAUCAUGCUGGUUUCCAGUUUUGAUGAAGGAAAGUCUUGCGAACCUUAUCAUUUAGAGGAAGGAGGAGUCGUAACA